RNAcentral lists this ribosomal RNA (450 nucleotides) under uncultured bacterium. RNAcentral describes it as "partial 16S ribosomal RNA". It matches the Rfam family "Bacterial small subunit ribosomal RNA", at positions 354 to 796 of the family's 1533-position model. The record is from RNAcentral.
GUGGGGAAUAUUGGACAAUGGGCGAAAGCCUGAUCCAGUCAUGCCGCGUGUGUGAAGAAGGUCUUCGGAUUGUAAAGCACUUUAAGUUGGGAGGAAGGGCAGUAAGUUAAUACCUUGCUGUUUUGACGUUACCGACAGAAUAAGCACCGGCUAACUUCGUGCCAGCAGCCGCGGUAAUACGAAGGGUGCAAGCGUUAAUCGGAAUUACUGGGCGUAAAGCGCGCGUAGGUGGUUUUGUAAGUUGGAGGUGAAAUCCCCGGGCUCAACCUGGGAACUGCCUCCAAAACUGCAUGACUAGAGUACGGUAGAGGGUAGUGGAAUUUCCUGUGUAGCGGUGAAAUGCGUAGAUAUAGGAAGGAACACCAGUGGCGAAGGCGACUACCUGGACUGAUACUGACACUGAGGUGCGAAAGCGUGGGGAGCAAACAGGAUUAGAUACCCGAGUAGUCC